This 321-nucleotide long non-coding RNA is filed under the name Homo sapiens (human). Its description in RNAcentral is "non-protein coding lnc-EEF1AKMT1-3:1". Lineage: Eukaryota; Metazoa; Chordata; Mammalia; Primates; Hominidae. The record is from RNAcentral.
CGCUGCGGAAGCGCACGUCCUCCUCGCCGAACAGCCCGGUCAGGCAGCCCCGGCACAGGCAGUAGGCUUCAGGCAGGUACCUGGGGUACCUCGCCGGGUCGUAGGAGAUCUGUAGGCCCAGGGCGACACGCUGCGCAGGUUGGUGGGCGGCCGGAAGCGGCGGUCGGCGGGCCUGCCCCCUGCCGGGCAGCUCGCGUUGCGCGCCUGCUCACGCGGCCCCAGCUGCAGCGUGUGGUGGAAGGCACUGAGCACGCCGGCCGCCAGGCGCCCGUACAGCUGCUCCAGUAGCUCCUCCGGCCGGUCCGCGCAGCCCCGCGGCCG